GAGAGAGCAAAGAGCUAGAAUAAUUUGCAGUUGCAGAAAACACAUUUUUAUCCAUAUGCUGGCUUCAAAUCCAUUUAUGUCACACAGACAGUUGUAACUAAAACUUUUUUGGUGCUGCCUUGUAGUUCAACUUACAGCAAUAAUAUUUAGCUGCAGUCAAGGGACUAUGUUUGUAGGUCUUACAGCUGACAUGGGUUAUCAAGGUUCAUUUUUCCAAAAAAAAAUUUCCCCCUUUGUGUGUCUUCUUCUUUUAACAAACUUCAUAUUUAUCCCAAUAAGAUAGGCUCAACUCAACUAUGCCUCAAUCCCAAACUUGUUAAGGUUAGCUAUAUGGAUCAU
This 339-nucleotide unclassified non-coding RNA is filed under the name Hevea brasiliensis (rubber tree). Lineage: Eukaryota; Viridiplantae; Streptophyta; Magnoliopsida; Malpighiales; Euphorbiaceae. The record is from RNAcentral.